GUUAGGCAUCUCUCUACUCAACAUUAGGUUAUACCUUCAUCCCUCUAUGUUCACAGUUGAAGGGAUGAGAGAUGGAGGGAGGGGUAGAGGAGGGGUGGAGGGAGGGAUGGAGGAGGGAUGAAGGAGGGAUGGAGGGAGGGGUAGAGGAGGGAUGAAGGAGGGAUGGAGGGAUGGAAGGAGGGAGGGAGUAGGGAUAGAGGAGGGAUGGAUGGAGGGAGGGAGGGAGGGAGGGAUAGAGGAGGGAUGAAGGGGGAUGGAGGGAGGAGGGGUGAGGACGAAGGAGGGGUGAGGAGGCGAGAGGAAGAGAAGGGAGGAAGCAUCUUCAGACUAUUGAGAUUCAGCCGGCCUGAAUUCCCUCCAUUAUUCAAACAAUUCAGUUAGUGCUCUUGACAGAUAGCAUUUAGCCAACUGUUAGCUCUAGACAGACAGCUAGCUAACCGUUAGCUCUAGACAGACAGCUAGCUAACCGUUAGCUCUAAACAGACAGUUAGCUAACCGUUAGCCAACCACAGUUAGCCAACCGUUAGCCAACCGUUAGCUCUAGACAGUUAGCUAACCGUUAGCUCUAGACAGACAGCUAGCUAACCGUUAGCUCUAGACAGUUAGCCAACCGUUAGCUCUUGACAGAUAGCAUUUAGCUAACCGUUAGCUCUAGACAGAUAGCAUUUAGCUAACCGUUAGCGCUAGACAGACAGCUAGCUAACCGUUAGCUCUAGACAGACAGCUAGCUAACCGUUAGCUCUAGACAGACAGCUAGCUAACCGUUAGCUCUAGACAGAGUUAGCCAACCGUUAGCUCUUGACAGAUAGCAUUUAGCUAACCGUUAGCUCUAGACAGAUAGCAUUUAGCUAACCGUUAGCUCUAGACGGACAGCUAGCUAACCGUUAGCUCUAGACAGACAGCUAGCUAACCGUUAGCAUUUAGCUAACCGUUAGCUCUAGACAGACAGCUAGCUAACCGUUAGCUCUUGACAGAUAGCAUUUAGCUAACCGUUAGCUCUAGACAGAUAGCAUUUAGCUAACCGUUAGCUUAGCGC
Molecule: long non-coding RNA, 1036 nt
Filed under: Salmo salar (Atlantic salmon)
Lineage: Eukaryota; Metazoa; Chordata; Actinopteri; Salmoniformes; Salmonidae
Description: lncRNA (ENSSSAG00000095887.1)
Source: RNAcentral